This 29-nucleotide non-coding RNA is filed under the name Mus musculus (house mouse). Lineage: Eukaryota; Metazoa; Chordata; Mammalia; Rodentia; Muridae. The record is from RNAcentral.
UCUCAGAGCAUACAGCACUUUCAGGUUUC